Zingiber officinale is the source of this 1748-nucleotide long non-coding RNA. RefSeq lists it as uncharacterized. The record is from RefSeq and is a predicted model, not a curated record. The transcript has 2 exons. NCBI's taxonomy places the organism in Eukaryota, Viridiplantae, Streptophyta, Magnoliopsida, Zingiberales, Zingiberaceae.
GAUAAACCUUAAUUAUCCCAAGUUGUUAAAUACCCCAAGUAUAAAAGCCUAUGCACUGUUCCCGAUCCCUCGCCUUACUCCCGCCACGCGAUCGCCGCUUCCCUCUCCUCGCUCAUCUCCGGUGCUUCGGCGGAGUUUCCCACCGUGCUUGGAGCUCCGGCCAAGCGUCGUCCCGCGAAGUUGAUUUCCAUGGAGGACCUCACGACCAGACAGGGAUCCUCGCCGGCGCAGUAACAUAGGGCAGGGACUUCUGACGGUGGCACAAGGCAAGGAAAGGCAAGUUCAUCAUCUAUGAUGAUAUGGGAUCGGUGAGGUAAGGGAUGGGUAGCUAGGUAGGUUGAUAAAUUGCCAACAAAGUCUGAUUGAUGGUUUAUGUUAUGGAUUGAUUUCUUUUCCGCGAUGUUCUUUAUUCGGCUUGAGGUUUCCGUGAUACUCAUGAUACGACUUGAGAUUUCUGAGAUGUUCUUGCUUUGUCUUAUGGUUCCGUGAGGUUUUGGCUUCGAUUUAUGAUCUCCUUAAUGUUAAAUGCCCGAUUGAUGGUAUGAGUCGCAAGUUCAAUCUCUAUGCUAAAUGUGAGAUCUGUGAGGUAUGGAAUAGAAAACUGGGAGACGUUAAAGCCUUAUCGACGAGUUCCGUUUGGUUGUAAGGAUCGUGGUACAUUCUAGCCCGUGAUGCUUGUGUCUUAACCGAGGUUUCAAUGUUCCUUUAGAUUCAGAGAAUGCUCUUUUUGAGUUUCUGCUUUGAACUAGUGAUUGUCGUGAGGUUUUAUCGGAUUGGUGGUUUUAAUCGGAGUUUUCGCGUGGUUUUGGUGGUUGAGUUGGAAACAGCGAUGCUUGAUUCAUGUGCUGUGAUGUUGAUUCGAUGCGGAUUUGGGAUUUCAGUGUGUUUAUGCUUUUCACCGUGAGAUGCUGCGAUGAUUUCUUGGAUGGUUGUCUUCCCUGUGGAUGGACUCGAUUUGAGGUUUCAUCGAAAUUCUUGCUUUGUUCGCAUGGUUUCUAGAUUUUUUGCCAGUGCUUUCAGUUACUGACAGAGUUCGUUUACCAGUGGAUUGUUCUGUUGGUGAUUCUUGUGGUGUUAGCUUGGCUAGGAAUGGGCUCGGAUACGAUUUCUUUCAUGAUGUUGAUGUUGUGAGCAUGUUGUAUGUUACCUGUUUGUUUAGAUGUCUGGCCGAGAAAUUUAUUGGAGGAAUGAAUGGUAUAUUGAGUUUUCCUUGGAGCCCUGGAUUUGGUUUGAUUUCUGCGAGGUCUUCGAGUUAAUUUUAAGGAUGAUUUGCUUCCUACUUGGGUUUCCGAUUGGUUUCAGUCAAGAUGUCUCUGUUUUUCCGAACUGUUAUGGAAUGUCGGGUUAAUUGCGGAAGCUGUGCUGAUCUUCUUGGUGUGGCUGGUACUUCAAAUUAGGUGGAACAAGGUAAGCAAGUUUUGAGUUCUCUGUUGUGAUGGUUCAUAAGCUUGGGACAGAUUCAAUUUUUUCUUGAAGCAGUGUCGUGGUUCUGUUUUUGUUGGGGGAAUUCCAUGUGAUGUUCUGUUUUGUGAAAGUUUGUGGAUUCAGCGUGGUUUUCUUUUAUGUUGGAUAGUUUAUCUGAUUUAGAUUUGGAAGAUUUCAAGAUUUUCACAAUGAAGUGACGUUCUUUUGUGAAGCAAUGGGAUUUAAGCUCUUAUGUGUACAUGUUCUUGAGAUAGCCAUGGACUGUUACAGAACUGAACUGAUGACUGUGAUUGAAUUGGAUUGUUUAGUUCACAACUUAUGAA